ACUUACGGACUAUAGGAGAAAGAGUUCGUCCUCAGUUCUGAAUUUAAUCACCUACUUGUCUGCCUUGAUGCAACACGGCUCAAAAUCAUAGCAGAAGCACUUUGGGGAGGGGAGCCCGGGAGCCCAUGCUGAACAUGAUACGUACGGGCUCCAGGUUUUUAAGGUAGCCAGUCGGUUUUCGUCCUCUUUGGGGCUUGCAACAUACUCAUGUGGGAAAUAUGACGACUAUCACUUGCCCAUUUUACACACGUUUGAAAAAUUAAGCCCAGGAAAAUUUUAAAAAUUAAUGCU
This 291-nucleotide long non-coding RNA is filed under the name Bos taurus (domestic cattle). RNAcentral describes it as "long non-coding RNA NONBTAT016481". The record is from RNAcentral. Lineage: Eukaryota; Metazoa; Chordata; Mammalia; Artiodactyla; Bovidae.